Long non-coding RNA from Dicentrarchus labrax (European seabass), 2741 nucleotides. NCBI's taxonomy places the organism in Eukaryota, Metazoa, Chordata, Actinopteri, Moronidae. The record is from Ensembl.
UCUGUUUUAUAUUUACUACGUCAGGCAACAAAUGAAUCAUCUUUAUUACGGAGAAAUUUAAUUUGGAUGAACUUAACUGCUGCCGCCAAGAAACUGAUGUUGGAGUGUGACCUACAGCUGUAUCAGCAGAGUCAUUCUCAUUCUGACGAGGAGUAUCUCAGCCUGUUGAGACACAGACAGCAGCUGCAGAAGCGCUGUACCGAGCAGGUUGAGGGCCUUGCGGAGUGUGAAAAGGCUAUUCUUCAGAUGAAGUCAGAGCUGCAGAGACAAACCCAGGAAAAAGUGGGUCUGAAGCAAAGUCUUGUUGCGUCUCGCCGUACGCACAUCAGCAAUCGCAGCCAGCUGGAACAGGAAGUGCUAUGUUUGAAAAAGGAAGUUACACGUUUAGAGCUUGAGCUGUCAGACACCCAAAAGGUACAUGUGGCACUUCUGAGACAGUCAGAGGGGGAGCUGAAGGAGGCCAGACGAGAGGCGGCGAGAAGGAGCAACGAGGUGGGUGUGCAGAGAGGAGAGGUGCAAAGACUUCAGGAAGAGUUACAAAAGUGGGAGGAGGAGAUGAGGAGUGCCAUCAGAGAGAAACAGAGUCUCAGCAGUCACAUCAGGCGGUUGAACCAAGAGCUGGAGGAGCUACGCAGCAAGCACAAAGUGACAGUGGAGGAGUUGGCAGCCCGUGCAGAGGAGGCGAGGCGGAUGGAGGGGUGCCUGAAUGAGGGAAAGCUAGCAGAGGAGAAAAUAAGGUCAAUGGCUGUGAGGCUGGAGACGGAGGUGGCAGAGCUCAGGAGGAAUCUGCAGCAUGCUGUCGAUCACAAACUCAAGGCAGAGCGAGAGAAACAGGACGCACAGGACCAGGUGGAUACACUCCGGUCAGAGCUGGAGGGGACAUGGUCUGACAAUACAAACCUUCGCCAUGAGAGCCAGCUGGUCAUGACGAAUGUCAACAGUUGGAUUACUGAACAAAAGGCUUCCAAUGAGAGCAUCAUUGCCCAGAUGAAGGCCCAAAACAAGCUGCUGCUCAUCAUCACUGAAGAAAAAGAACAUCUUCAGGAGGCUAAUGACACAUUGAAGGCGGAGGUAAAGAGACUGAAAGAAGUGGCGGAUGAGAAGGAGAGAGACACGGAACGCUUCAAGGCCCAGAUUCGAGACCAGGGCACCCGGCAAGACGAGAGAACCAUGGAAACACAGGGUUGUGUGGCUCUAAACCUCAGCAAAAUCGAGGACAUGCAGACAAGACUGCGACACAACCUGGAGGCCAUCGGAAUGCUAAAUCAACAAUUAAACGCCCUCAGCAGGGAGAAUAAGCAGUUGCGUAGGCAGCUGGAGGAGGAGAGGUCCAUGCGACUGCUCCUUCCUCCUCCCACCUCCCAACAGCGCUCCUUCUCCCGCCCACCUCCUCCCUCCGCCUCCCUACCCUCAUCCCUCCGCCUCCCUCAUCCCCUGAACCUGGACACAGCAGCGGGAGACACUGACAGGACUGUAAACCAAACCAAGCUGAGCAGUACUAGGCUAGAGAGACCAGGUGAGUCCCAGGCUUUGGGUGAAGCGUUCUGGAUUAGGCCGCCUGGCUCUGCCUCCCUGGAAGAUGCUCUGUCUGGGAGGACAAGCAGGGAUCUGACCAAGUGAAGCCCCCUGAAGACUCUGACCUGUCAUGACUUUUUGACCUCCAGCUGCUCACCAGGGAGUGUACUCAGUAUGAGGUUAAUGUCCUGCAGGUCAAAGUCAAGUCCCUGAGUGCUUUUUGCCUGAGGGGGCCUCCAGAACCAGUGAAUGAUGGAAUUCCAUCAAAUCGAAAUCUCAAAAAUGUCUACUACAUCAUGAAGACAUUUACUCCAAGAUAUGAACAUAUUCACAUUUCUUACUUUUAAAAAAAUGAAUUGGUUGCAUCCUCAAAGUGUUGCAAUGCUCUGAGCAGUGUUGGUUUAUAACAUUUGCAAUUACUUCUUCUUUUGCAACAAAACUGUAGCACUAAGCACUAAAAUAUUGUUUGUGUCUGUACCUUUUUAAAAAUUCCAUCAGUUCUGAGAAACUAUAAUCAAUUUAAUUCCACUUAAAUGAACUAAACAGAACAAGUGACUAACUCCAAAUUCUUUAGUGUUGAUGAAUGUGUCUCACACUGGAGAUGGAAGCUGUGGAUAAAUGAGGGACGGCAGAUCAUCAGGAUCCACAGACAUACCUCAGAUGUUGAUGCGAAUGGCUAUAACACAGUCUCUGAUUAUGCUGCAGCUGUGCGCCAUGUGUCCUCCAUCUACUGCGGUGAAUGUGGCCGUGUGUCUUUAUGUGUGAGUACGUUAUGUGUCUGCGUGUUUAUGUCUCUCUGUGAGUGCUUGUGUGUGAUUGAAUGUUGAUUAUUGUAGAUGCUGUUUUAUAUUUUUGUUUUAUUCUUUAAAAACUAUUUAUUGAUCUUUUUUUCCCCUCUGUUGCUGUGUUUAAGCCCCGCGUGUCAUAAAGGUGGAAAAAUAAAAACAGAUACAUUUGUAAAUGGUUGUAAAUUUUCCCCAUUUUUAUUUUCGCUGUCAGUGUACCAACAAUAUCUUAUUUCUACCAGUUGGAUUUAUGUAACAACAGGCUAGAAAUGCUACCUGUUACCAUGGCAUAAUUAGGCAUUUGUACAGUUUUACAUGACUGCUGAGACACAAAGAUGGUGACAACAUUUCUAAGCAGCAACAUUUUUUUUUUUUACAAAAGAUCUAAAAUGCGGCUUCGAAGCAGGGACUAUGGCACACUCACACCAUAUUGACUUGCUA